AUGGAAGCCAUGGAAGUAGAAAAUAGUGGGAAAAGAAGAAGGGGAUAUGGAGAAUCAUCUGUAAAAAGAGAAGGAGAAAGAGAGAGACCUACCAGAUCAGCUGGACAAUGGCCUCCAGAAAAAGAUGAUUAUCAACCUACAUCUAGCCCAGGACAAUAUAGAUAUAUGGGUACUAAAAGAAGAGAUUUUGAAAAACCAGUGCAAUUUCAGAAUUAUAAGAAUGAUGGCGCUAUAUUAAACCUAGCAGCUCAUGAUCCAAUAGAUUGGCCGAAUAUAAUCAGCAUAUGGAAAGGUUUAACAGUACAAAAAUAUAUACAAAAUCAGUAUAAUAUAGGCACUAAGGUAGAAGAUAUUUUAACAUAUCUUGAAACAUUUUUAGGAGAAUCUGUAAAAUUUCUAUGGGAACAAUGGGUAGAGUCAUACCCUAGUCAAUAUGAAGAAUUAAAAAGGGCAGGAAGUAACCCUAAUAACUUUGCGAAUGUUAUCUCAAAUAUGAUCAUAGCAGAAGAUCCAGAAUGA
RNAcentral lists this ribosomal RNA (519 nucleotides) under Triticum aestivum (bread wheat). RNAcentral's name for it is "partial small subunit ribosomal RNA". Lineage: Eukaryota; Viridiplantae; Streptophyta; Magnoliopsida; Poales; Poaceae. The record is from RNAcentral.